This 467-nucleotide ribosomal RNA is filed under the name uncultured bacterium. RNAcentral describes it as "partial 16S ribosomal RNA". It matches the Rfam family "Bacterial small subunit ribosomal RNA", at positions 28 to 507 of the family's 1533-position model. The record is from RNAcentral.
GACGAACGCUGGCGGCGUGCUUAACACAUGCAAGUCGAACGGAAAGGCCCUGCUUUUGUGGGGUGCUCGAGUGGCGAACGGGUGAGUAACACGUGAGUAACCUGCCCUUGACUUUGGGAUAACUUCAGGAAACUGGGGCUAAUACCGGAUAGGAGCUCCUGCUGCAUGGUGGGGGUUGGAAAGUUUCGGCGGUUGGGGAUGGACUCGCGGCUUAUCAGCUUGUUGGUGGGGUAGUGGCUUACCAAGGCUUUGACGGGUAGCCGGCCUGAGAGGGUGACCGGCACAAUUGGACCGGGGUAACGCCCCGGACCCUACGGGAGGCAGCAGUGGGGAAUAUUGCACAAUGGGCGGAAGCCUGAUGCAGCAACGCCGCGUGCGGGAUGACGGCCUUCGGGUUGUAAACCGCUUUCGCCUGUGACGAAGCGUGAGUGACGGUAAUGGGUAAAGAAGCACCGGCUAACUACGUG